UACGUAGGUGGCAAGCGUUGUCCGGAUUUAUUGGGCGUAAAGAGCGUGUAGGCGGCCAGGUAGGUCCGUUGUGAAAACUCGAGGCUUAACCUCGAGACGUCGAUGGAAACCAUCUGGCUAGAGUCCGGAAGAGGAGAGUGGAAUUCCUGGUGUAGCGGUGAAAUGCGCAGAUAUCAGGAAGAACACCCGUGGCGAAGGCGGCUCUCUGGGACGUGACUGACGCUGAGACGCGAAAGCGUGGGGAGCAAACAGG
RNAcentral lists this ribosomal RNA (253 nucleotides) under uncultured bacterium. RNAcentral's name for it is "partial 16S ribosomal RNA". It matches the Rfam family "Bacterial small subunit ribosomal RNA", at positions 524 to 776 of the family's 1533-position model. The record is from RNAcentral.